Trichechus manatus latirostris (Florida manatee) is the source of this 71-nucleotide non-coding RNA. NCBI's taxonomy places the organism in Eukaryota, Metazoa, Chordata, Mammalia, Sirenia, Trichechidae. The record is from the annotation of a RefSeq genome assembly.
GCAUUGGUGGUUCAGUGGUAGAAUUCUUGCCUUCCAAGCAGGAGACCUGGGUUCAACUUCCAGCCAAUGCA